AUGGGAUUUUUGCUCCUUGUAAUUUUCACUGUAGCAGCUUUGGAAGGUGUCCGGUCCCAGGUGCAGCUGGUGGAGUCCGGCGGGGAUGUGAAAAAGCCCGGAGACUCUCUCCGCCUCUCCUGCAAAGCCUCCGGCUUCACUUUCAGCAGCUACGGCAUGAUCUGGGUCCGACAGGCUCCCGGGAAGGGACUAGAAUGGGUCACUUAUAUAAGUAACGGUGGGGCGGGACCAUUCCCCCGCUUACAUAUACACUACCUUGAUUCAGUGAAAGGCCGGUUCACCAUCUCCCGGGAUGAUUCCAAGAGUGAGCUGUAUCUGCAAAUGACCGGCCUGAAGCCCGAGGACACCGCCCGCUACUACUGUGCGAGACACACACAGUGA
This is a non-coding RNA of Emys orbicularis (European pond turtle), 381 nucleotides long. Lineage: Eukaryota; Metazoa; Chordata; Testudines; Emydidae. The record is from the annotation of a RefSeq genome assembly.